GAUGAACGCUGGCGGCGUGCUUAGCACAUGCAAGUCGAACGGAAAGGCCCAAGCUUGCUUGGGUACUCGAGUGGCGAACGGGUGAGUAACACGUGGGUGAUCUGCCCCGCACUUCGGGAUAAGCCUGGAAAACUGGGUCUAAUACCGGAUAGGACAGUGGUUUGGAUGCCAUUGUGGAAAGUUUUUUCGGUGUGGGAUGAGCUCGCGGCCUAUCAGCUUGUUGGUGGGGUAAUGGCCUACCAAGGCGUCGACGGGUAGCCGGCCUGAGAGGGUGUACGGCCACAUUGGGACUGAGAUACGGCCCAGACUCCUACGGGAGGCAGCAGUGGGGAAUAUUGCACAAUGGGCGCAAGCCUGAUGCAGCGACGCCGCGUGGGGGAUGACGGCCUUCGGGUUGUAAACUCCUUUCGCUAGGGACGAAGCGUUAUGUGACGGUACCUAGAGAAGAAGCACCGGCUAACUACGUG
Molecule: ribosomal RNA, 467 nt
Filed under: uncultured bacterium
Lineage: Bacteria
Description: partial 16S ribosomal RNA
Rfam family: Bacterial small subunit ribosomal RNA
Source: RNAcentral